GAUGAACGCUGGCGGCGUGCCUAAUACAUGCAAGUCGAGCGAACAGACGAGGAGCUUGCUCCUCUGAUGUUAGCGGCGGACGGGCGAGUAACACGUGGAUAACCUACCUAUAAGACUGGGAUAACUUCGGGAAACCGGAGCUAAUACCGGAUAAUAUAUUGAACCGCAUGGUUCAAUAGUGAAAGACGGUUUUGCUGUCACUUAUAGAUGGAUCCGCGCCGCAUUAGCUAGUUGGUAAGGUAACGGCUUACCAAGGCAACGAUGCGUAGCCGACCUGAGAGGGUGAUCGGCCACACUGGAACUGAGACACGGUCCAGACUCCUACGGGAGGCAGCAGUAGGGAAUCUUCCGCAAUGGGCGAAAGCUUGACGGAGCAACGCCGCGUGAGUGAUGAAGGUCUUCGGAUCGUAAAACUCUGUUAUUAGGGAAGAACAAAUGUGUAAGUAACUAUGCACGUCUUGACGGUACCUAAUCAGAAAGCCACGGCUAACUACGUG
RNAcentral lists this ribosomal RNA (497 nucleotides) under uncultured bacterium. Its description in RNAcentral is "partial 16S ribosomal RNA". It matches the Rfam family "Bacterial small subunit ribosomal RNA", at positions 28 to 507 of the family's 1533-position model. The record is from RNAcentral.